This 465-nucleotide ribosomal RNA is filed under the name uncultured bacterium. Its description in RNAcentral is "partial 16S ribosomal RNA". It matches the Rfam family "Bacterial small subunit ribosomal RNA", at positions 28 to 507 of the family's 1533-position model. The record is from RNAcentral.
GACGAACGCUGGCGGUGUGCUUAACACAUGCAAGUCGAACGGUAAGGCCCUUUCGGGGGUACACGAGUGGCGAACGGGUGAGUAACACGUGAGUAACCUGCCCUCAUCUCUGGGAUAACAGUCGGAAACGGUUGCUAAUACUGGAUAUGAGCCUGCAAGGCAUCUUGUGGGUUGGAAAGAUUUUUUGGUUGGGGAUGGACUCGCGGCCUAUCAGCUUGUUGGUGAGGUAGUGGCUCACCAAGGCUUCGACGGGUAGCCGGCCUGAGAGGGCGACCGGCCACAUUGGGACUGAGAUACGGCCCAAACUCCUACGGGAGGCAGCAGUGGGGAAGAUUGCACAAUGGACGGAAGUCGGAUGCAGCAACGCCGCGGGCGGGAUGACGGCCUUCGGGUUGUAAACCGCGUUCAAUUGUGACGAAGCUUUUUGUGACGGUAGCAGUAGAAGAAGCACCGGCUAACUACGUG